GACGAACGCUGGCGGCGUGCUUAACACAUGCAAGUCGAACGGAAAGGCCCUGCUUGCAGGGUACUCGAGUGGCGAACGGGUGAGUAACACGUGGGUGAUCUGCCCUGCACUUCGGGAUAAGCCUGGGAAACUGGGUCUAAUACCGGAUAGGAGCCAUUUUUAGUGUGAUGGUUGGAAAGUUUUUUCGGUGUAGGAUGAGCUCGCGGCCUAUCAGCUUGUUGGUGGGGUAAUGGCCUACCAAGGCGGCGACGGGUAGCCGGCCUGAGAGGGUGGACGGCCACAUUGGGACUGAGAUACGGCCCAGACUCCUACGGGAGGCAGCAGUGGGGAAUAUUGCACAAUGGGCGCAAGCCUGAUGCAGCGACGCCGCGUGGGGGAUGACGGCCUUCGGGUUGUAAACUCCUUUCGCUAGGGACGAAGCUUUUUGUGACGGUACC
This 437-nucleotide ribosomal RNA is filed under the name uncultured bacterium. Its description in RNAcentral is "bacterial SSU rRNA". It matches the Rfam family "Bacterial small subunit ribosomal RNA", at positions 28 to 479 of the family's 1533-position model. The record is from RNAcentral.